RNAcentral lists this ribosomal RNA (256 nucleotides) under uncultured bacterium. RNAcentral's name for it is "partial 16S ribosomal RNA". It matches the Rfam family "Bacterial small subunit ribosomal RNA", at positions 524 to 776 of the family's 1533-position model. The record is from RNAcentral.
GACGUAGGUGGCGAACGUUAUCCGGAAUCAUUGGGCGUAAAGGGUGCGUAGAUGGCAUGAUAAGUUAUUAGUGGGAAAUCGAGGCUCAACCUCGUGGAAGCUGGUAAUACUGUUUUGCUUGAGUGCAGGAGAGGUUAACGGGACUCCAUGUGGAGCGGUAAAAUGCGUAGAUAUAUGGAAGAACAUCAAUAACGGCGAAGGCAGUUAACUAUUCUGCUACUGACAUUGAGGCACGAAAGCGUGGGGAGCAAAACGG